CCGGGGGGCAGCAGCCGAGAAUAUUCGACAAUGGGCGAAAGCCUGAUCGAGCGACGCCGCGUGCAGGAAGAAGGUUUUCGGAUUGUAAACUGCUUUUCUACAGGAAGAAUAAAUGACGGUACUGUAGGAAUAAGGAGCUGCAAACUACGUGCCAGCAGCCGCGGUAAUA
This 169-nucleotide ribosomal RNA is filed under the name uncultured bacterium. RNAcentral describes it as "partial 16S ribosomal RNA". It matches the Rfam family "Bacterial small subunit ribosomal RNA", at positions 341 to 525 of the family's 1533-position model. The record is from RNAcentral.